GACGAACGCUGGCGGCAUGCCUAACACAUGCAAGUCGAACGCGAACUUCUGGUCUAGUGGCGAACGGGUGCGUAACGCGUGGGAACCUUCACUUGGGUUCGGUAUAACUCUCCGCAAGGGGUGCUAAUACCGGACGAAUUCUACGGACCCAUGAUUAAUCGACAUUGGAUGGGCCCGUGUUAGAAUUGCUAUUUGGUAGGGUAAACGCCUACCAAGGCGACGUUCCAUAGCUGGUGUGAGAGGAUGAUCAGCCACACUGGGAGUGAGACACGUCGCAGACUCCUACGGGAGGAAGCAGUGGGGAAUAUUCGACAAUGGGCGAGAGCCUGAGCCAGCAAGGCCGUGUGAGUGAUGAAGGAGUGAGGGUUGUAAAGGACUGUUAACAGGGAUGAUAAUGACAGUACCGGGAGAAUAAGCUCCGGCUAACUACGUG
RNAcentral lists this ribosomal RNA (433 nucleotides) under uncultured bacterium. RNAcentral's name for it is "partial 16S ribosomal RNA". It matches the Rfam family "Bacterial small subunit ribosomal RNA", at positions 28 to 507 of the family's 1533-position model. The record is from RNAcentral.